CUGGAGGAUUGAGGAAACACCAUACAAUCAAGCAGUAUCAGACACCAGGAGGAUCCUAUGAUUGCACUGUUGUGUUGAAUCUCUGCUAUUCUAACAUUGGAGGGGAAAGCUGUCUUGUUUGUUUAAGAAAUUGUCUCGUUCAUUGUCUUCUUUGCCCAUCUGCUUUCCAAGGGCAAAUUUUCCUCUGCACAUUCAGCCCUGCCACAGCAGACAACAAUGCCCUUUGCACUUACCCCAAGAGACAGAUGAAAAAAGUGCAAUCAGUUCUGGGGAGGCAUCAGAAAGGUAUUUUCUCAGUGUCAGAAAGUACUGUCUCCAAACAAGCUGAUGGAGAGGAGGGCUGUGUAAUAGCUGUGGCCAGAAAACCAUGAGGAAGAUGCCAAGAAGGGGCUAAGGGAACCUCUGCGACAGUGUAUCCCACCUGCAGGUAGAACGAUUCCCCACCCCCCCACCCCAAAGACGUUGUCAGCAGUGAGUUGGGAGGAGGUAAGGCGCCUUCUCCAUGCUUAUUUCAGUCUUCAGCAGAAGCAAAGUUACAUGGUCAUUUGCAGCUGGGACCACCGCCAAUGACAGAGAUGGCCCACAAAAAAUUGCACGUUGCAUCACUUUGAAAGUGCCCUGGAGACGAUGCACCAACUACUGAUAGUAUUAGAGAACUGGAUUGGAAAUGGCUCUGUCUACUGGCAACAUAAGAAUUGCCAACCAGAACAGAUCACUGGUCCAUCCAGUAUCCUGUCUCCAACUGUGGAUUUCACAAGAGCUUUAGAGAAAGGUGAAAAAUCCGCCCCCCAAAAUGCACCUGGCUAAUUGUACAUCUGGGGAAAAUGUAUUUCUGCUCCCAGCUGUUGAUGAGCUUAUCUCAGAGGGUUGAGUGUGUUCAAAUUUUUAUCCUAGAUGGUGUAAUCACAGUUUCAUAAUGAAGGGAUAUAGAGGACAUUUUUUUUCAAUUUGCAGAUUAGAGAAAGGUCAACUCCAGAUUAAUCUUCCACUGCUACAGGUCAUGAAGCAGAGUGGCUUGUAAACACUGUGAAAUGAAUAAAGUCUUUAGUGUACUGCGCACCGAGUUCUACACCUCCUAACCAAAGAAAACAAAGGGGAAACCGAAGCCUUCCUGAGUAGUUACCAAAUAUUUUCUAACGUGGAGAGGGAAUU
This is a long non-coding RNA of Mauremys reevesii (Reeves's turtle), 1152 nucleotides long. RefSeq lists it as uncharacterized. The transcript is spliced from 2 exons. The record is from RefSeq and is a predicted model, not a curated record. NCBI's taxonomy places the organism in Eukaryota, Metazoa, Chordata, Testudines, Geoemydidae.